RNAcentral lists this unclassified non-coding RNA (386 nucleotides) under Hevea brasiliensis (rubber tree). Lineage: Eukaryota; Viridiplantae; Streptophyta; Magnoliopsida; Malpighiales; Euphorbiaceae. The record is from RNAcentral.
AAUGGAGCUUAAAGCCCAAAUGGUGGAAAAAGGGAUUGAGCCAGAUGUUUUCACAUAUACUACGCUCUUAUCAGGAUUUGAGAAGGCUGGGAAGGAUGAAUCUGCAAUGAGGGUUUUUGAGGAAAUGAGAGCGGCUGGUUGUAAGCCUAAUAUAUGUACUUUCAAUGCUUUAAUCAAGAUGCAUGGUAACAGGGCAAAGUUUGCUGAAAUGAUGAAGGUUUUUGAGGAGAUUAAAAGGUGCAAUUGUGUGCCAGAUAUUGUUACAUGGAAUACACUUUUGGCUGUGUUUGGACAAAAUGGGAUGGACUCAGAAGUGUCUGGGGUGUUCAAAGAGAUGAAGAGGGCUGGGUUUGUGCCUGAGAGGGACACUUUCAAUACACUAAUCA